UACGAAAGGGGCUAGCGUUUUUCGGAAUUACUGGGCGUAAAGCGCACGUAGGCGGCACUGUGAGUUGGGGGUGAAAUCCCGGAGCCCAACUCCGGAACUGCCUUCAAGACUGCAGAGCUGGAGGAUGCGAGAGGUGAGUGGAAUUCCGAGUGUAGAGGUGAAAUUCGUAGAUAUUCGGAAGAACACCAGUGGCGAAGGCGGCUCACUGGCGCAUUUCUGACGCUGAGGUGCGAAAGCGUGGGGAGCAAACAGC
RNAcentral lists this ribosomal RNA (253 nucleotides) under uncultured bacterium. RNAcentral's name for it is "partial 16S ribosomal RNA". It matches the Rfam family "Bacterial small subunit ribosomal RNA", at positions 524 to 776 of the family's 1533-position model. The record is from RNAcentral.